Molecule: long non-coding RNA, 853 nt
Filed under: Oryzias javanicus (javanese ricefish)
Lineage: Eukaryota; Metazoa; Chordata; Actinopteri; Beloniformes; Adrianichthyidae
Source: RNAcentral
AGAUGCUGUACUACAGCAGAAGACAGUGAGAGGAGUGGAAGGGAGGAGGGACAAACCGGGCUCAUUCCCACACAACGACCAGCUCCGGGGGGGCCGCCAGAUGCAGAGCUGAGUCUGCGCCCCCCGGGGAGGGCUCGCCCAAGUGGAAUGCCUCCCCGGUUCUCCCUCCGUCAGAGCGCCAUCUGCUGACUCGGUGCGGAGGGACAGCUGGUGUUGUGAAUCAGGCCGCCACAGUCCAGGGACCGGCUACUUCCCAACACCAGGGUCUCAUCGCCGCCGCUCACGCCGCAGACCUCACGGGGUCUGAUGACGUUCCCAGAAAUGCAGCUUUGGUUCCUGAUGCUCUGAUGAAGAUGAUAAAACGACAUAAAUGAAUGUGGUUUUGUUUUCAAUAAAACUCUAACAUACAUCAUCCUUUUUCUCUCUUGCUUGUGGUGGAAAUAACACCCUUUCAUUCUUAUAGUGAAACAUUACAUUUCUAUAACAUACGGUGUGUUGAAGUUUUCACUAAACAUAAAAAGGCAUUUUGAAUAAAUGAGUGAAAGUGUGUAUACCUGCUUUAAAGGGCAGCCUAAAAUCAAAGCCACAAACACGCCUGAUGAAUAACAUGAGACGGCUGCUGGCUGUAAUCUCAGCUCUCCGAAACGGUUCAAACUUCCUGUGUUAAAGAGAUUUCAUUCUUCUUUCACUGCUGGAUGUUAAUGUUUGACUGAAAACACUUUAUAUAUAUUUCAGAUCAACAAAUGUGUAAAUUCAGGACUUUGAUGAAACAGGACAGUUUAUGUAAAGCUAAACAUGUUGACCCUCACAGUGAAAUAAAUAACAAAAUUAUUUUUCAGAAGGAAUUAAAAAU